UGAGGAAUAUUGGUCAAUGGGCGAGAGCCUGAACCAGCCAAGUAGCGUGAGGGAUGACUGCCCUAUGGGUUGUAAACCUCUUUUGAUUGGGAACAAAGAGCGCCACGUGUGGUGCGUUGCGUGUACCUUUCGAAUAAGCAUCGGCUAACUCCGUGCCAGCAGCCGCGGUAAUACGGAGGAUGCAAGCGUUAUCCGGAUUUAUUGGGUUUAAAGGGUGCGUAGGCGGAUGGGUAAGUCAGCGGUGAAAUGUCCCGGCUCAACCGGGGAACUGCCAUUGAUACUGCCUGUCUUGAAUGCGGAUGCCGUGGGAGGAAUGUGUAGUGUAGCGGUGAAAUGCAUAGAUAUUACACAGAACACCGAUUGCGAAGGCAUCUCACGAAUCCGUUAUUGACGCUGAGGCACGAAAGC
Molecule: ribosomal RNA, 408 nt
Filed under: uncultured Meniscus sp.
Lineage: Bacteria; Pseudomonadati; Bacteroidota; Bacteroidia; Marinilabiliales; Prolixibacteraceae
Description: bacterial SSU rRNA
Rfam family: Bacterial small subunit ribosomal RNA
Source: RNAcentral